Molecule: ribosomal RNA, 730 nt
Filed under: uncultured bacterium
Lineage: Bacteria
Description: bacterial SSU rRNA
Rfam family: Bacterial small subunit ribosomal RNA
Source: RNAcentral
AACAGGAUUAGAUACCCUGGUAGUCCACGCCGUAAACGAUGUCGACUUGGAGGUUGUGCCCUUGAGGCGUGGCUUCCGGAGCUAACGCGUUAAGUCGACCGCCUGGGGAGUACGGCCGCAAGGUUAAAACUCAAAUGAAUUGACGGGGGCCCGCACAAGCGGUGGAGCAUGUGGUUUAAUUCGAUGCAACGCGAAGAACCUUACCUGGUCUUGACAUCCACAGAACUUUCCAGAGAUGGGUUGGUGCCUUCGGGAACUGUGAGACAGGUGCUGCAUGGCUGUCGUCAGCUCGUGUUGUGAAAUGUUGGGUUAAGUCCCGCAACGAGCGCAACCCUUAUCCUUUGUUGCCAGCGGUCCGGCCGGGAACUCAAAGGAGACUGCCAGUGAUAAACUGGAGGAAGGUGGGGAUGACGUCAAGUCAUCAUGGCCCUUACGACCAGGGCUACACACGUGCUACAAUGGCGCAUACAAAGAGAAGCGACCUCGCGAGAGCAAGCGGACCUCAUAAAGUGCGUCGUAGUCCGGAUUGGAGUCUGCAACUCGACUCCAUGAAGUCGGAAUCGCUAGUAAUCGUGGAUCAGAAUGCCACGGUGAAUACGUUCCCGGGCCUUGUACACACCGCCCGUCACACCAUGGGAGUGGGUUGCAAAAGAAGUAGGUAGCUUAACCUUCGGGAGGGCGCUUACCACUUUGUGAUUCAUGACUGGGGUGAAGUCGUAACAAGGUAACC